Non-coding RNA from Pelobates cultripes (western spadefoot toad), 219 nucleotides. Lineage: Eukaryota; Metazoa; Chordata; Amphibia; Anura; Pelobatidae. The record is from the annotation of a GenBank genome assembly.
UCCUGGUUCAACCUUGCUCCAUUUGGGCAUCUACCUUUAGGUCUUCUUUGGUCGGGGAACAACACUUAUCUAGCCGAAGUCAAUGUGCAAUUAGGGACUGAAACUAGUUUGUUUUUAAGAUAUUUGGCAUUUGCUUAUAAGCUCAAAAUUUGUAAAUCCAUAUUAGCACUCUUUUAUCUCCAUGGUCAUUGGUAAGAUAGGUAGGAAACUAUGGGGAGG